This 466-nucleotide ribosomal RNA is filed under the name uncultured bacterium. RNAcentral describes it as "partial 16S ribosomal RNA". It matches the Rfam family "Bacterial small subunit ribosomal RNA", at positions 28 to 507 of the family's 1533-position model. The record is from RNAcentral.
GAUGAACGCUGGCGGCGUGCUUAACACAUGCAAGUCGAACGAUGAAGCCCAGCUUGCUGGGUGGAUUAGUGGCGAACGGGUGAGUAACACGUGAGUAACCUGCCCUUGACUCUGGGAUAAGCCCGGGAAACUGGGUCUAAUACCGGAUAGGAGCGCCUGUCGCAUGACGGGUGUUGGAAAGAUUUUUCGGUCAUGGAUGGACUCGCGGCCUAUCAGCUUGUUGGUGAGGUAAUGGCUCACCAAGGCGACGACGGGUAGCCGGCCUGAGAGGGUGACCGGCCACACUGGGACUGAGACACGGCCCAGUCUCCUACGGGAGGCAGCAGUGGGGAAUAUUGCACAAUGGGCGGAAGCCUGAUGCAGCGACGCCGCGUGAGGGAUGACGGCCUUCGGGUUGUAAACCUCUUUCAGUAGGGAAGAAGCGAAAGUGACGGUACCUGCAGAAGAAGCACCGGCUAACUACGUG